CUUCCACACACUUUCAGUGUGAAUUUGAAUCAGAUUUUUAACAUUUUUAAGUGCUUACAAAUAGAGGCAUCUCAAUGGAAACUAGUUCAUGCUGUGUAAAAUGGGAAAACCAGUACUCCUCUAUAUCCCUGGGAGGCUGUGAGGACGAAUACCUGAAUGAUCCUAAAGCACUCUGAUACUAUGGUAAUAAGGGUCACCUAAGAUUGCAGCAGGCUUCAUGGUGGCUGGUGAAAUUGAGACUGGAAGAUGAAACACUACAAAAUGAGAUUGGAGGGUGAGCAGCGGAGAAGGAAAGAGAGCAUAAGGGCAACUUUUCCAAGAAUCACUGGUGAGGCCUUACCUGGAGUAGUGUGUCUCAUUUGGCGCACUUCAAGAAGACGUGGACAAACAGGAAGGAUCCAGAGAAGAGCCGCAGAAUUUAUUAGAGAUUUAGAAAAGACCUAUGAAUAAAUGUUGGAAGAACUGGUACUGUUUAGUCUGGAAAAGAGAAGAUUAAAGGAGAUUCGACAACAGUUUUCAACAAUAUAGAAACGAUUUUUAUAAAGAGGAAGGUGAUCAACUAUUUUUGUGUCCAAAGAGGGCAGGACAAAAAGUAAUGGAAUUAAAUUGCAAUAAGGAAAGCUUUAGGUUGGAUAGUUAGAACUUUUCUAACUAUGAGGGUGGUUAAGUGGUGGAACAGAUUACCUCAGAAAGUUGUGAGAUAUCCAUAAUUAGAAAUAUUUGAGAUCACUGUAAACAAACAUUUGUUUGGGAUGGUUCAGAUGGGGAUGUAGGAAGUUAAACCAGAUGAUCUUUCCAUCAUGUUUUUCUCCAACUUUAUCAAGUCAUUUGUUUUGUUCUGAAUUUUUAAAAUUUUAUUAAGAUAAGCCUUAUCAACAUUAUAGAAAGUUUAAGCAUAAAAGUCAAGUUUUCUCUUUAAAAUACCAACAAGAAUAUUUUCACUAGUUCUGAUAAUGAUUCAAAUUUCUUCACACUCCUUCAAUGGGCAAACUAAGGAAAACAAAUCUGGGAAUGUUUUGUUGUCACAGUCUUAAAAGCAUAAGAGGAAAUAAAAUGUCAAAUUUGGGGUCAGGGAGGAAUUUUACCCUGCAGUCAGAUUGGCAUGGGCUGUAGAGGUUUUUGCCUCCUACAGUCCUUUUCCUAGGACCUUCUGAGCAUACAUUAACCCUCUUGUUGUAAUGACAGGGCAUUGGCUAUGUCCUCAUCUCCCCUGCUGUUAUCUAUGGGAGAUUACAGAGUGGUGCUGGUGUUUCAGGUAUUGUGCCUUGAGGGUUGGAAGUGAUGAUUGGGUGAUCCAUUGUAUAAACAAUUAACCGGCAAACACAGAGAACUGCAUGCAGUGGCCCAGGCAUCCCUUCCACUCCUAUACUUCUGUGUAUAAAAGUAUACCUUGAAUCCAGGCAUAUGCUCAUUUAUCUCUGGUGAUACCAAAGCCCUUGUAUCAGUCAUAACUGAAAGUCAUCCACCUCUUCAUUCAGCUGGAGUGAAACAUAGCAACUGCUUCAGAGAACUGAGAAAAAAUGUAAAAAAAAUGGCAAAGGAAGUGGGGAAAAAAUGUUGCAUCCAAGUUGAAACUCCAGGAAAAAUUUCAGGUAGGAAAAAUGUAAUUAUCCAGGCUGGAAUCUUGCCAGGAUACUAUUCAUUUUGCAAACUUGACAUUUCUCAAAAUCAAAUAACAGAUGUUCUUGUGAACUUCUGUCAGGCAUAAAUUUUCUUAAUUAACUCUAUGAGUACUGCUUUGAC
Alligator sinensis (Chinese alligator) is the source of this 1743-nucleotide long non-coding RNA. RefSeq lists it as uncharacterized. The transcript has 4 exons. NCBI's taxonomy places the organism in Eukaryota, Metazoa, Chordata, Crocodylia, Alligatoridae. The record is from RefSeq and is a predicted model, not a curated record.